Molecule: long non-coding RNA, 1394 nt
Organism: Helianthus annuus (common sunflower)
Lineage: Eukaryota; Viridiplantae; Streptophyta; Magnoliopsida; Asterales; Asteraceae
Exons: 7
Source: RefSeq, a predicted model, not a curated record
AGAACACGACAGAACUCUUUUCUCUCUAUCUUCCAUCUCAAAACCCUAGCGCAGCCAUGUCUGAAGUGGAGGUUGCUUGAAGUAGAGGUUGCUUGAAGCGGAUUUUUACGGCGGCGGAUAAACACUAAUUAAAUGAUUCUUCUUCACUCCGAUUAUACCUUAAUCAAAUGAUUUCUUCAUUCGCCUCUCUCAGCUCUGAAACCCUAGAUUCACAACUUCAUCAACUGCUCUGAUUUUGUUGGUUUAGGAAACUAAAGAUAUCACAAAUCUUUUGAUGACAGAGAAAUUGUUGUGAAGAACCUUUCAGAGACAUCAAAAUAGGGGAAUAGAGAAUUUACAGAUGAAGAGACGGUUAAGAAUGGCCACAAUAGGGCUUCGAUGGUGGCGCCUACAGAUGAGAUUCAACUCACCAAAGUUAAGAAAUCCCUAAGUUGCAUUUUUGGUUAUUUUGAUUUGUUAUUUUUUCAAAUUUCAUCUCCAUUUUUAAUUUGUUGUUUAUGAUGCAGGUUUUUUUUGCAUAUCGAUUCUCUAUUUAAUGUCAUGAUUGUAGUGUUAGUUUGUUUUUGGAAUCAUGAAGUUCUAGGUUUGGAGUUGAAAGUGAACUCCCAUUAAGUUCACAGCUUCAAGAUAUGAUCUUGAGCCAGAAGAUUACCAUCUUCACAAGCAUUGUGAUAUCAGAAUAAUAACAAGAGGUCUAAUGUCUAAUUGUUAGAAGAAGACUAUAGUCGUCAAAUUGUAGGAUUAAAGUUUUUUUAAAGAUUUUGUUUGUGGGAGAUUGAGGUGGAGGUGGAUUAGAGAGAGGUUUAAAUGGAGUGUCGAUGGGAAGAGAUAAGCUAAGAAGGAAGACGAUGGAACACAAGGCUUUGAACUUGCAGGAAGUAGCUUUUGGUGGUUUAGUGGUGAAAAGUGUCGCCUUUGGCUCUUAUCAGUUCGCCUGUAUGUUGUUCUUUUUUUGAUCUGGUCUACUCGGGGGAAAACAUGUUGCUGGUUGUUCAAAGCCAUAGGGCCCAUAACCUACUUGUGGAUUUUGUUCGUAAAGGCAUCUUAUGUGGAAACAAGAUGAAGGCAAACUUCUUCCCGUGAUAGAGGUGGCAAAAAUUCAGUAAUUACAGUAGAUAACAUAAAGGUUGAUAUAUGUGUAUUUGCUUUUGAUGUCAUGCUUGCUAAUGGGGAACAGUAAUCAUCUUGAUCCUGCUCUUAGAUAUUUUAUGAAUUUUUAAUUUUAAUUCACUAAACUGUAAAAAUGAUGGUGGUUAAACUUUUCACAUGCUCUUUUAUGACAGGUUGUUGGGUUUACCUUUGCGUCAAAGAAGAAAAUGUGAGAUUACUAAUUUGCAUAUGUUUUUAUAGUUCAUCUAACGAGGCCUAAUGCAUUAGUGUUACUCUUGAUUCAA